GCUUCCUACGGGAGGCAGCAGUGGGGAAUUUUGGACAAUGGGCGCAAGCCUGAUCCAGCAAUGCCGCGUGAGUGAAGAAGACCUUCGGGUUGUAAAGCUCUUUUGUCAGGGAAGAAACGGCUGCGGCUAAUAUCCGCGGCUAAUGACGGUACCUGAAGAAUAAGCACCGGCUAACUACGUGCCAGCAGCCGCGGUAAUACGUAGGGUGCAAGCGUUAAUCGGAAUUACUGGGCGUAAAGCGUGCGCAGGCGGUUUUGUAAGUCUGACGUGAAAUCCCCGGGCUCAACCUGGGAAUUGCGUUGGAGACUGCAAGGCUGGAGUCUGGCAGAGGGGGGUAGAAUUCCACGUGUAGCAGUGAAAUGCGUAGAGAUGUGGAGGAACACCGAUGGCGAAGGCAGCCCCCUGGGCCAAGACUGACGCUCAUGCACGAAAGCGUGGGGAGCAAACAGGAUUAGAUACCCUGGUAGUCCACGCCCUAAACGAUGUCUACUAGUCGUCGGGUCUUAAUUGACUUGGUAACGCAGCUAACGCG
RNAcentral lists this ribosomal RNA (532 nucleotides) under uncultured bacterium. Its description in RNAcentral is "bacterial SSU rRNA". It matches the Rfam family "Bacterial small subunit ribosomal RNA", at positions 334 to 859 of the family's 1533-position model. The record is from RNAcentral.